RNAcentral lists this long non-coding RNA (765 nucleotides) under Salmo salar (Atlantic salmon). RNAcentral describes it as "lncRNA (ENSSSAG00000105882.1, ENSSSAG00020047012.1, ENSSSAG00075040746.1)". Lineage: Eukaryota; Metazoa; Chordata; Actinopteri; Salmoniformes; Salmonidae. The record is from RNAcentral.
CACACAGCCUGUUUUUAUUUAUAGGCUGUUUUCAACUUGUCAAUUUUAAAUUAUUUUCUAACAAGUUUUUUAUUUUCUAAUAACAGAUUGAAUUGAGAUGUGUUCCGCCUCAUUCAUUCACACAAAAGUAGUCAUUUUUACUUUUGCAGAUCAAUUCAUUUUUUGGGACAUUUCUGACCCGGACAAAAUUCCCCAAACACUUCCCAAUUGUUUGUGCAGUUCAAGUCUACAGACAUUUGCUCAUCUCGUCCUGCAUACACGUGUUCACAUUUUCCUUCUGUUGCCUGCAUCGCAAUCAACGUUGUUUUCGUUACCAAUAAUAACUUUGGAAGUGUGUGUGUUUCUAUCAAACUGCUCUGUCAGAAACAACUUGAAGCACUGCCUCAGAUGGAAAUGGCAAGGGCCGUUGCACUCCAGACUGGGACUCAUCAACGCAAACAGCAGGGCCAGGAGGGGUGAAAUGGCUGGCAGCCUUCCAGCUACCACAGAACUCUUGUACUUCAUCCACUAUCGGUCUGCCUCCAUCACCACCAGCAUCUUCAAAUGGAACUAGGACUUUGUCAGUGGACAAUGGGUCCUCAGAUUCAAGGUUCUCAAUGGCUGGGUUCUCAGCUCCUCACUGUAACUGUCAGAAUCUGAUUCCUGACUUUCAGACUCAUUGUCAGAAUUUUUUUACAUCUCCAGAAUUUCCCAAUUUUGUGAGUUGUCUCCUUUUGAAAGGCAUUGCUAAUGCUACAGCUUCUCAUUAGCUACAUACAUAAACAA